UGGACAUGGUAGAGAAUGCAGAUAGUUUGC
RNAcentral lists this non-coding RNA (30 nucleotides) under Homo sapiens (human). The record is from RNAcentral. Lineage: Eukaryota; Metazoa; Chordata; Mammalia; Primates; Hominidae.